RNAcentral lists this microRNA precursor (60 nucleotides) under Xenopus laevis (African clawed frog). RNAcentral describes it as "Xla-Novel-15_pre stem-loop". Lineage: Eukaryota; Metazoa; Chordata; Amphibia; Anura; Pipidae. The record is from RNAcentral.
AAACACAGAAUGGGUAUGAGUGUGAAACUUCAUUUUCAUUGAUAUCUGCUCCGUGUGUCU